GGCUCUCUGAGCACCACCAUGGCGGUCACCAAGAAGAAGGUGGUUGAUCCAUUUUCUAAGAAAGAUUGGUAUGAUGUAAAGGCACCAGCUAUGUUCAAUAUAAGAAAUAUUGGGAAAACACUAGUCACAAGGACUCAAGGAACGAAAAUUACAUCUGAUGGGCUUAAGGGUCGUGCUUUUGAAGUGAGUCUUGCUGAUCUGCAGAACGAUGAAGUUGCAUUUAGAAAAUUCAAGCUAAUUACUGGGGAUGUUCAGGGCAAAAACUGCCUGACCAACUUCCAUGGCAUGGAUCUUACCCGUGACAAAAUGUGCUCCAUGGUCAAAAAAUGGCAGACCAUGAUUGACGCUCACGUUGAUGUCAAGACUACAGAUGGUUAUUUGCUCCGCUUGUUCCGUGUUGGUUUUACUAAAAAACACAACAACCAGAUUCGGAAGACAUCUUAUGCUCAGCACCAACAGGUCCGUCAAAUCCGGAAGAAAAUGAUGGAAAUCAUGACCCGAGAGGUGCAGACAAAUGACUUGAAAGAAGUGGUCAAUAAACUGAUUCCAGACAGCAUUGGAAAGGACAUAGAGAAGGCGUGCCAGUCUAUUUACCCUCUCCAUGACGUGUUUGUUAGGAAACAUUCAACCUCCCUGUUCCAAGGGCAAGGGAUGUUUGGUGACAUUGACCAAGUAGGAAGUUCUGCUGCUCCUAGUCUCACCGACCCUGCUGUGGUCCUGGUGGUUUGGAAACUUAAGUUCCACGAGCAGAAGCUGCUGAAGCAGGUAGACUUUCUGAACUGGGAGGUCACUGACCACAACCUGCACGAGCUGAUUGGGCUGCGCGAGGACUGCACGCCUUACAACCAACUGAGCCAUGUGGUGCGCCGACUAGCUGGGCGCCUAUGGGACCUGCAGAGAACGUCCGGUUUCACAUUUGCUCCUCUGUAGCGUUGCUGUAUAAUUUGCAUGCUCUAGGCCUGGUACUCAUGCGUGGUUCUCUUGAGCUCUGCGACUUCAUCACGACUUCGUCCUUCUGCCAUCACCACCUGCCCACUGUGCGCCUCAAGCUGCCGUGGCACAGCACCUUCAGGCCUCCGUGGCUUUCAUAGAGCAGGGCCAAGUGCACUUAGGACCCGACCAACCACGCCUUCUUUGUCACGUGCAGCAUGGAGGACUUCCUCACAUGUAUGGACUUGUCCAAGAUCAAGCGGCAUGUGCUGGAGUUCAAUGAGGAGCGAGACAACUUAACUCUGGUAGCCUAG
RNA transcript from Chrysochloris asiatica (Cape golden mole), 1244 nucleotides. It is a transcript of the gene named 40S ribosomal protein S3a-2-like, with no coding region annotated. The record is from RefSeq and is a predicted model, not a curated record. NCBI's taxonomy places the organism in Eukaryota, Metazoa, Chordata, Mammalia, Afrosoricida, Chrysochloridae. The transcript is spliced from 4 exons.